This is a non-coding RNA of Potamilus streckersoni, 83 nucleotides long. Lineage: Eukaryota; Metazoa; Mollusca; Bivalvia; Unionida; Unionidae. The record is from the annotation of a GenBank genome assembly.
GAGACCGCUUCGAUGGUCUAAGUGGUUAGAGCGUCAGCCUCGGAUGCUGAAGGUCACGAGUUCAAAUCCAGGCGGUCAUACCA